GCCGGGCGUGGCGGUGCAUGCCUGUAAUCCCAGCUACUCAGGAGGCCGAGGCAGGAGAAUCGCUUGAACCCAGGAGGUGGAGGUUGCGGUGAGCCAAGAUCACGCCAUUGUACUCCAGCCUGGGUGACAGAGCGAGACUCUGUCUCAA
Molecule: non-coding RNA, 148 nt
Filed under: Gorilla gorilla gorilla (western lowland gorilla)
Lineage: Eukaryota; Metazoa; Chordata; Mammalia; Primates; Hominidae
Source: Rfam by way of RNAcentral